CCGAUAGCGUAUAUUAAAGUUGUUGCAGUUAAAAAGCUCGUAGUUGAAUUUUAGGCCUGGCCGGACGGUCCGUCUUUGGCGAGUACUGUUCUGUUGUCGGGUCUUCCUUCUGGUGAACCAGUAUGUCCUUAAUUGGAUGUGUUGGGGAGCCAGGACCAUUACCUUGAAAAAAUUAGAGUGUUUAAAGCGGGCUAUUGCUUGAAUAGAUUAGCAUGGAAUAAUAGAAUAGGACGUUGUGGUUCUAUUUUGUUGGUUUCUAGGACCACCGUAAUGAUUAAUAGUGAUAGUUGGGGGCAUUAGUAUUCAAUUGUCAGAGGUGAAAUUCUUGGAUUUAUUGAAGACUAACUAUUGCGAAAGCAUUUGCCAAGGAUGUUUUCAUUAAUCAAGAACGAAAGUUAGGGGAUCGAAGACGAUCAGAUACCGUCGUAGUCUUAACCAUAAACUAUGCCGACUAGGAAUCGGGCGACGUUAUUUUCACGACUCGCUCGGCGCCUUAUG
This 498-nucleotide ribosomal RNA is filed under the name uncultured Glomeromycotina. Its description in RNAcentral is "partial small subunit ribosomal RNA". It matches the Rfam family "Eukaryotic small subunit ribosomal RNA", at positions 591 to 1092 of the family's 1831-position model. Lineage: Eukaryota; Fungi; Glomeromycota. The record is from RNAcentral.